RNAcentral lists this ribosomal RNA (207 nucleotides) under uncultured bacterium. RNAcentral's name for it is "partial 16S ribosomal RNA". It matches the Rfam family "Bacterial small subunit ribosomal RNA", at positions 568 to 774 of the family's 1533-position model. The record is from RNAcentral.
AGCGUAGACGGAGUGGCAAGUCUGAUGUGAAAACCCGGGGCUCAACCCCGGGACUGCAUUGGAAACUGUCAAUCUAGAGUACCGGAGAGGCAAGCGGAAUUCCUAGUGUAGCGGUGAAAUGCGUAGAUAUUAGGAGGAACACCAGUGGCGAAGGCGGCUUACUGGACGGUAACUGACGUUGAGGCUCGAAAGCGUGGGGAGCAAACA